UGGGGAAUUUUGGACAAUGGGCGCAAGCCUGAUCCAGCCAUGCCGCGUGCGGGAAGAAGGCCUUCGGGUUGUAAACCGCUUUUGUCAGGGAAGAAAAGGUUCUGGCUAAUACCUGGGACUCAUGACGGUACCUGAAGAAUAAGCACCGGCUAACUACGUGCCAGCAGCCGCGGUAAUACGUAGGGUGCAAGCGUUAAUCGGAAUUACUGGGCGUAAAGCGUGCGCAGGCGGUUAUGCAAGACAGAGGUGAAAUCCCCGGGCUCAACCUGGGAACUGCCUUUGUGACUGCAUGGCUAGAGUACGGUAGAGGGGGAUGGAAUUCCGCGUGUAGCAGUGAAAUGCGUAGAUAUGCGGAGGAACACCGAUGGCGAAGGCAAUCCCCUGGACCUGUACUGACGCUCAUGCACGAAAGCGUGGGGAGCAAACA
Molecule: ribosomal RNA, 427 nt
Filed under: Brucella melitensis
Lineage: Bacteria; Pseudomonadati; Pseudomonadota; Alphaproteobacteria; Hyphomicrobiales; Brucellaceae
Also listed under: 3 other names
Description: partial 16S ribosomal RNA
Rfam family: Bacterial small subunit ribosomal RNA
Source: RNAcentral